UAAUGAGUAAAAUUAUGUCAGAAUGACAAUACACAAGCUGUUGCAGAAUAUGGACUGCAGAAGUAUUAGUAUUAGUGCCCAGAGACACCAAAGCCUUUUAAUCAAUCUAUGAAUUUUAAAUUGCAGACACGCUCAAUUUACAAUUCCAGAAACUUUUAUAGUCUAUUUUUAUACACUUACUUACAUCAGCUGUGUUUGUGGAUUCAUACUUAAUUUUGUGAUGUUUGUAUGGGUUUGUGUUUGGUGGCGACUAGUCUGGAGAAUAGAUAAAGGCAAAAACACAGUCAUGGGAUAAGUCACAGGCCACGACACUUACACAAAUAAACACAUUCAUUAAGGGGCCUCUGAACCUGGAUUCCUAUCAUGUUUGCUCUACAACCAGCAGCUGUGAGCGAUAACAAGCUAUCGGCAAGAACUUUCUGCAACAAUAGAACUGAUUGGCAUGAUUAUGUCAAGCCAUGUAAAACCUUUGUUCGAUUAUCCCGAGCACUUCCUCUGAAACAUAUUGGAUUAUAUCUACCUCAGACACAGAGAGGCACUGUUGCACAUGAAGGCCACCCCCACACUCACCAUCUGGAUCAUUUAGAGGGCGGAGUGCCCGCUUUCCCUCCGUCCCUCUUGCGCUCUCUCCCUUCCUCCCUUCCCUUCCUGCCGGCCUCUGAGCAGAGGAUGUGUCUGGGAGUGUGAGAGGAAGGCUGGCGGUGAAGUGGGUAUGUACCCUCUCUCUUCUUCCCCCUUGUUACGCUCUCUGUAUCUGCUGAUUGCUCUAUCUAGCUGCACUGAGCAGGCCCUCUGGGCAGGGCAGUCUCUUAGAAGUGGAACGGUGGAACAACAAGCCUAAAUGUCAGACGGAGACAAGAAUGGCCGAGACAAUCAUGAAGAGGCCCUUGUCCCAGUCGAGGUGUGGCAAGAGCUGGAAAGGGCUGAAUGUUUGGCACGGGGUGCUGCGCUGAAAUGGGCUUCAGGUGUCUUUUGUCGUCCAGAGCAUCUGGAGAAACUUGGGCAGUACAAGAAAAGAGAGAGUCAGCGAACUGCAUCAAUUCAGUCAAGGUUAAAGUCAGUUGUACAGUCCUACCUGGAGGGUGUUGACUGGGGUCUUGGUCAAUUGCGAGAGGCACGAGCUGAGCUAAGAGGUGUGUCACAUGACUUGUACAAGGCAAACUUGGAGUCCAGGAAAAAUUCUGAAGAAGUAACUACACUGGAAACACUUCGGGAGAUUUCUGUCAGUCACUGUCAGCUUCUUGCUGCAGUAAGCAACCUGCCUCGACUCUACAAAGUACGGAGUAUGGUGCUAGAGACAGAAAGGCUAGUGGAGUCUCGGAGACUAUUGGAAGCUCAUGCUCGGCUAAUGGAACUAGAGCGCUGGCAGGAUGAGGUACUGCUACAGCUCCAGGGACCCAGGGGAUCAUCCGGAACAGAGUUGAACUCUGAGGAUGAGGAGUUGGUGCGGAAUUAUUUUUCAGGAGUUGGACGGUUGGUAGAUGCCCUUGCCAAGGAGCUCUGGGCAGUGGUGGGUAGCGGGUUGUCACUUGCUCAUCAGAACCCAACACCUUUUGUCUCAGCUGUACGAAUAGUGGAACGUGAAGAAGCACUAGAUCAGUUCUUUCUAGAGGAGCGAAGGUCAACUUCCGGACACAACAUACCCAUGCCAGCAGGAAGACCACGUAAUUGGAGAGACCGAUUCUUUAAGGUGAUGGAAGAGGCAGUGUCAGCACGCUUCCGUAGUGUGUCCUACUUGCACACUCGAGGACCAGGACUUGCAAGUCAUUUGUCUGCACUGCAGCACUGCAUUAUGGGAGAUCUCUCAACAGUGCGGCAUUGUUUGGAACAAUGUGUUCCAGCUCACUACCAUUUAACUAGAGCUUACUUGCACUUCUGCCACCAGUUUCUGCAAACCCAUCUUGGACUGGUUAGUGGAUGGGAGUUAGAGGGUGGGGAAAUCUUUGCUGUUCUUAACUGGGUUUUGCACAUAUACAACAGCUCAGAGAUGAUGGGUGAGCCAGCCCUUUUAGCUGAACUAGAAAUUGAGAACCUGGGUCCUCUCAUAUCUCAGGAAGGUCUUGAGCAGCUGCAAAACAAAUAUGUCCAAAAAGUUCGGAAGAGCGUCUCGGAGUGGAUGCAAAAGGCUCUAGAAGUGGAGCUAACAGACUGGCAGAGGGAUCAGGAACCAGAUAUUGACCAUGAGGGCUACUACCACACUAGCCUUCCAACUAUCAUCACUCAGAUGCUAGAAGAGAAUGCACGAGUGGCCUUGAUGAUAAGUGAAGCUCUGCGGGACCAGACAAUCCAAAUGGGUCUUUAUGAGAUGGAGAAGCUCCUCAGUCGAUUUCGAGACGCAGUCAUAGAAUUUGGUAAGGAGCAUCGCAAGGAUCCAACUGUUAACAAGUUCUACCUCCAUUACCUCCUGGCCUGCAUCAACAACUGCAUCAUUCUCAAGUGAGAUGGUGUACAAGUAUCUUUUUACAAACCUCUACAGAAAGUCUGCAGCAGCAGAUUUGCUCCUUCGUUUCAAACCGGUAUUCACGUAUCCCACUUGGACCUCUGGCUGCCCUGGACCGUGCUGUAAGAAAGGCAUGUCGUUUAGUUAUGGAUCAUCUCUUGUUUGAGUUGCAACCACAUCUACAAGAGCUCCUCUCUAGUACCUGGCUGGACCAGGGAGAUGUGACCCUAAAUAUGUGUGGGGUUCUAGAACGUCACUGUGAACUUUACAACAGAGUGCGACAACCUUGUCGCCAGAGGUUAAAGGAGGAAUGCCAGUGGCUAACUGUUGUUGAGUAUGUCCGAGCAGUGAUGCAGAAGAGAUUGGUCUGCAGAAGUAGCGAUGAGCAAAAGCAGCUGGCCCAGCGAAUGACACAGGAUGCCCAACAGCUCAGGGACCACCUUCAGAGCAUG
Molecule: non-coding RNA, 2892 nt
Organism: Danio rerio (zebrafish)
Lineage: Eukaryota; Metazoa; Chordata; Actinopteri; Cypriniformes; Danionidae
Source: RefSeq, a predicted model, not a curated record